Molecule: ribosomal RNA, 262 nt
Filed under: uncultured bacterium
Lineage: Bacteria
Description: partial 16S ribosomal RNA
Rfam family: Bacterial small subunit ribosomal RNA
Source: RNAcentral
CGACCGGCGCACGGGUGAGUAACACGUAUCCAACCUGCCGUCUACUCUUGGACAGCCUUCUGAAAGGAAGAUUAAUACAAGAUGGCAUCAUGAGUCCGCAUGUUCACAUGAUUAAAGGUAUUCCGGUAGACGAUGGGGAUGCGUUCCAUUAGAUAGUAGGCGGGGUAACGGCCCACCUAGUCUUCGAUGGGUAGGGGUUCUGAGAGGAAGGUCCCCCACAUUGGAACUGAGACACGGUCCAAACUCCUACGGGAGGCAGCAU